UACGUAGGUGGCGAGCGUUGUCCGGAAUUACUGGGUGUAAAGCGCGUGUAGGCGGCAGGCCAAGUCGGUGGUGAAAGCGCCCGGCUCAACUGGGCGAGGUCCAUGGAAACUGGUCAGCUGGAGGACGGUAGAGGCGAGUGGAAUUCCCGGUGUAGUGGUGAAAUGCGUAGAGAUCGGGAGGAACACCUGUGGCGAAGGCGGCUUUCUGGACGGUAACUGACGCUGAGACGCGAAAGCGUGGGGAGCAAACAGG
RNAcentral lists this ribosomal RNA (253 nucleotides) under uncultured bacterium. RNAcentral's name for it is "partial 16S ribosomal RNA". It matches the Rfam family "Bacterial small subunit ribosomal RNA", at positions 524 to 776 of the family's 1533-position model. The record is from RNAcentral.